This 2496-nucleotide long non-coding RNA is filed under the name Amborella trichopoda. RNAcentral's name for it is "long non-coding RNA (ATRI_LNC000427)". The record is from RNAcentral. Lineage: Eukaryota; Viridiplantae; Streptophyta; Magnoliopsida; Amborellales; Amborellaceae.
GAUUGUCAACAAAGAGACCAUUUAUCUUUUGUACAUGGAGGUCACAAUCAUUAUCGCCCUUAAAUUUCAAAAUGAGUGGUUGUAAGAGUGUCAUUGAUUAGACACAAAGUUCAAAAAAAAAAAAUUCUCUGACUUUGUGACUCUCCCCGAAGCCAUCUAAUUUUACAUCUAAUGAGGGCCUUUAAAAAAUAUGCCCCAUCAGGACCGGUUAGUUUGGUCAUUCAGUGCUAGAUUAGUGGGCUGGCCGGUCUAGAACCUAGUCCAACACUAAUUUUGUGGACCAUUCGGUCCAUGGGGUAGACUGGACAUGACAUGUCAGGGGUUCACUAGUUUUGGUUCGAACCAGCCAGUCCAGUCUUGUCUUAACAUCAUUGAUUAUUGUAUGAUAAACAAAUAUAUUCCUUUUUUUGGGUAAAUCAGUGUGGAUUAGGGUUCCUACCUGUUUUUCAUUAACUCAAAUUUGUAGAGAGAACACAAAACAGAAAGCUCAUAGUAUAAUACUAAAACGUUAAUCAUGAACGACAAUCAUAAGUAGGGAGAAAAUAAGUGCACCACCACAAUUUAUUCAAAAAAAAAAAAAACAUUAAAAAAAAAAAACAAUAUUCUAUGUUCUUUCUUUCUUUUACUUCUGUUUUUCUUUAUUUUCUUUUCUUGAGGAUUUAUCUGUUUUGCUUUUUUUCCAAAACCGAAAUUGAAUAAAAAAUUUAAAAACAAAAAAUUUCCCUAGACAUUUUUCUUUAUUAACUUUUAUUGUGUUUUCGGUUCAUUUUUUGUUUUAAUGACUUACGCAAAAUAUAAAAGUCCUUGCAAGUUGUAAGGUAAAAACCGAAAGUAUAAAAAAAGAAUUGCAAUUUUGCACCAAACAAUUUUUUUUCUUUUUUUUUUGUUUCUUGGAUUCACCUUUUAGGGGUUUUGUACAAAUUUUAAUUGUAAAGUCCUUACAAAUUACAAUAUGUAAAUUUUUAAAAUUAAAACUGUAUAUGUUGAAAAAAAUCCAAAAAUAUUAGGGUGUUUCCGUUUUCUAUAUUUUUGAGUAAUAUUUUGAGGGGUUUUUACAAAUUGUAAUAGCCCUUUAAAACUACUUGGAUUCAUAUUUUAGGGGAUAUUUACAAAUUUUAAUUGUAAAGUCCUUACAAAUUACAAUAUUAAAAUUUUAAAAAUUAAAACGAUAUAUAUAUGGAAAAACCCAAAAAUAUAGGGUGUUUCCUUUUUCUAUAUUUUUGGGUAAUAUUUAGAGGGGCUUUUACAAAAUUGUAAAAGCCCUUUAAAACAACCUAAAAUUUAAUUGUAAAAGCCUUUAAAGCAACCUAAAAUUGCAACCGAAAUGAAAAAUACCUCCAAAAUCGUAAAACCCUAAUUUUUAAUUUCCUAAAACCGGCAAGGCAACAUAUAUUUUCAUUUAUUUUUGUAUUUUCUAAGCUCUAAAAUAAAAUAAUAAAAUAAUAAAUACUAGAAUAUAUAAAAAAUAACUUGGUGUUGAAAUUGGUCGGAAUAUUACCGGAAUUUGGCCAGACAUCUCAUUGGUGGAGGCUGGUUGUUUGAGUGAGCGAGAGAGAUCGAGAGAGAGAGAGAGAUUGAGAGAGAGAGUACAUAAGUUGUUUUUUUCCUUUUAACCCUUUUAUAUAUUUAAUAAGAUCAAAACACCCCCGCUCAAGGCCUUUCUUUCUUAUAAAAAAAUAAAAAUGUUGCAAAAAGUAUCUUUUCUCCGACUACGUUUGGACUGGCCGAUUCACAUCUGAACUGGUGAACCGGCAAGUCCAAUAUUUGCUUUUGGACUGGCCGGUUCACCUGUUUAGACCGGUUCGAAGAUUUCCUUGGUUCAUUGCCGGAACAGAGAAGGUAGCGGUUCAUCGGUUGAACCUGUCGAUCCAGUCUGGUUCAUACAAGAUUGAAAUAGUCCUACUACAAUUUAGGAUCUUUAACUCUUAUUGCUAAAUAAACUUUAUUAAAAAAAAGAAAAACUGAAAUCAAACUCAUAAUUACUAUUAGGAAUUCUAAUCUAAUUUGGAGUCCUUGUCCAAGUAGGAAUCCUAAUUUAAAUAGGACUCUUAAUACAAUUAGGACUUCUAAAACAAAUAUGAAUCAAGAAUUGAAAAUAAAAUUGAUAAACAAAACUGCGAAGACUUUUUAAACCUUUGUCUAAGGUCACCUCCUUAGGACUUAGCACGCUCCACAAUCGAUCUUUGAACCGAUGGUGCACAUUGAUCCUUUGGUCUUGCUGAAUCCUUUGAACUGCGAAGCACCUCAAGCAAUGACCUCCAACUGAGCUAGGCUGAGAGUAUGGAUUACAAUUUUGGGUCUCUUUUCAACCCUUAACCUUUGGUCAUGCCGCAAAGGCACCUACCCUAAACUCAACCGAGGGUGGGCUGGGUGUGCCCCCAAACGUGUUUUGGCUGCCUGGUUGGUGUAUGCCACCCUCAUGACCUUGCCUCUUAGGUGAGGCGUACCUACCUAGAGAGAGAGAGAGAGAGAGAGAGAGAGAGAGAGAGAGAGAGA